CCCUUUCACAAAGUGGCACCAGCUAUAGCCUCUCACUUGGAGUUGGAGACACCUUGCUCUAUCCAUCAAGUAGCACCACACUGCGCGCAGCUUCCACAAAAUGCCUACCUAUGCUUGCGUUCCCGGUCCCUUUCUCUUGACCCUCUUGAAUGCUUGGCAUCCUCUUCCCACUCUGCUGGUGGUGGGGGCGAGGCGGGCUCGUACCUCGAUGGCUUCCUCUUGAAAUGCCUUUCAUCAUCACUCGACUCGUAAUCCAUGGCAGCACUGCUAUUGCUCUUCUUGCCUCCCCCGCUAGCUGACACAGAUGUGGCCUUUACAGACGAAGAGUUAUAGUCAUCAUAAUAUCCAUUAGCUGUGGAUGAAGAUUUGUGAUGAUCAGAAGAUGCAGAGGAACCACCAGCUACGGCCACAGGAGCUUCCCCUGAGGAAGAGAGCUUGCGCUUCUUUUUGGCGAGCUCUUCUUCCGGAAAGCUAAUGCGACAGAAAACGCUUGCUUUCUGUUUGCGGUCUGCUAUUGCGGAUGAAGCUGGUUUAGCAGUCGUUUCAGAUGAAGCUUUUGCAGGGAGUUCAGAACGCUGGUGGUGGUGGUGGUGGCUAUGCUGAUGAUCACGUUCACCUCUGUCUCGUUCUCGGUCAUGAUCGUAGUCGUAGUAAUCGUGAUCGCGAUCUCUAUCACGGUCGCUUCUCUCGUGGUCGGAUUUUCUUUUGGAAGGGCGCGGAGGCAGUGGUGGUGGAGGUUCAAGAUCGCGGGCUGAGCGUUCAGGCGAGGACCUCUCAGGCAGACGGCGGUGGUGAGGAUGAGGAUCACCGCUUGAUGACUGCGGAAUAGACUUAGAUUUCAUUGAAGAAACAUCACCACCGCUGCUCACUUCCCUACCAAAUUCUCGAUCUCUAGGAAACUCCCUUUCAGCUCG
RNAcentral lists this unclassified non-coding RNA (914 nucleotides) under Hevea brasiliensis (rubber tree). Lineage: Eukaryota; Viridiplantae; Streptophyta; Magnoliopsida; Malpighiales; Euphorbiaceae. The record is from RNAcentral.